RNAcentral lists this ribosomal RNA (420 nucleotides) under uncultured eukaryote. RNAcentral describes it as "bacterial SSU rRNA". It matches the Rfam family "Eukaryotic small subunit ribosomal RNA", at positions 592 to 1018 of the family's 1831-position model. The record is from RNAcentral.
CAAUAGCGUAUAUUAAAGUUGUUGCGGUUAAAAAGCUCGUAGUUGGAUUUCUGUCUAGGGUGGCCGGUACCCACUAUGUGAAGUAUCUGGUUCAGUCUGGGCAUCCUCUUGGGGAUCGUUCCUGUGCUUGAUUGCAUGGGACGGAAUUCAAGACUUUUACUUUGAGGAAAUUAGAGUGUUCACGGCAAGCUUUCGCUUUGAAUACAUUAGCAUGGAAUAAUAAUAUAGGGCGUAAGUUCUAUUUUGUUGGUUUGCGGAUCGAGGUAAUGAUUAAUAGGGAUAGUUGGGGGUAUUCAUAUUUAAUUGUCAGAGGUGAAAUUCUUGGAUUUAUGAAAGAUGAACUUAGGCGAAAGCAUUUACCAAGGAUGUUUUCAUUAAUCAAGAACGAAAGUUAGGGGAUCGAAGACGAUCAGAUACCAU